Non-coding RNA from Camelina sativa (false flax), 480 nucleotides. The record is from RefSeq and is a predicted model, not a curated record. Lineage: Eukaryota; Viridiplantae; Streptophyta; Magnoliopsida; Brassicales; Brassicaceae.
CACACAUACAACUCAAAAACCAUUCAUUUGCUAGUGCUAUAGAGUUUCGACUAACGUUAAGUCAUGGUGGGAGGAGGAAGUAAACCGACAAAAACUGGAGAAGGAAGUAAACCGAAGGCCACUAAAAAUGAUGCAAAUGCAUAUCUAAUGGCUGUGAAGAAUACAUUUCAUAAUGAGCCUGAUAAAUAUGACGAUUUUAUAGCAAUCAUGACCAAAUUUAAAGCUCGGAAACUUGAUAGGAAUGCUUGCAUUGGAGAGGUCAAGGAACUGCUUAAAGGACAUCGAGACUUGAUUUCGGGUUUUAAUGUAUUCUUGAUCGAUGAUUGGUAUAACUUAGAGGGUAGGUGAUGUAGCUUGUGAUUCAUUAUCUUUCUUCAUUUGGGAGCCAUGUAUUAGAUUUAGCCAUUAUAGGCUUAUAAAUAACGUUAUAAGAUAUAUGUUCUUUCCAAAUAUAUAUAUGCAUCAAUCUUUUCUCAACUA